GGCUAUUCAGGAGCCCGCCAAGAGUUACCUCGUUAGAGCAAAAGAUGCUACUAUCACUUAGGAAAUUACAAAGGUUUUAGGAGGUGAAACAGUCGCAAAUGGAAUUCCAAGAAACAUUCUAUAUACACUGCCUCUAGGACUGGGACAGAUAGCCACUGAGUACCUGCUUCAAAUCACCCUGCACGUUUUCUCUUUGGAAAGAUAAGCACUGGAGAACCAUCUCGUUACCUUCAGCAGAAAUGGAAACAAAUCAAGACAUUAAGAAUGCCGCAGUGGACAGCAGUUAUGCAAGGUUCAGCAGAGGAAGUUUUCAAGAUGGUGUGCCUCACUAGCCAGAAAUCAGAAAAGAUCGAAGCUAGCCUUUUCAUCUCAGCUGCUCCUUAAAUCAGUGCAACCCCUCCAAAUUAAUGUGAAUUGAAACUUGCAUUGCUUUUCAACUUAAUUGAAUACUUACUAUAUGUGAACCACUGCACAAAAUAGGGGAAGAAGAUGUGGGAGACAAAGAUGUGGAGCCUGUCUUCAAUAAAUUUACAGUUAGUUUCAGGGUACAUUGUUUUUCUUCUGCUGUUAAUUAGGUGUAUCCCCAAGACAAUAAAUACAUGAAUGGAAAAGUAUAUUCUGUGUUUUAAGUCUCUUUAAUAAAAAACAAAACAAAAUCCAAAAAAACUCCUAACAUGGCAACUCAGGACAUUUUAAUCCUUUUUUUUGUUGUUGGGCUUCUGAUAGGAUCCAUUUUAUUGAUUCCAUAAAUAUUUAGUAGACUUUAGACAUAUUAAUACAUUGUAGUUUGAGUUAAUUUGCAUUAAAUUCUGUUUUUUUCCCCUUAGGUAUAGAUUGUCUGUUGGAAAAAUAUAUUGCUUGUGGAUUUCUUGGGGAGUGGGAAGGUGAAUUAUACCUGUUGUCUCUACAGUCCACUACCUUCCACACCCUAGGGCAGUGGUCCCCAACCUUCUUGGCACCAGGGAUCAGUUUCCUGGAAGACAAUUUUUCUGUGGAUGGUGUGGGGAUGGUUUUGGGAUGGAACUGUUCCACCUCAGAUCAUCAGGCAUUAGUUAGGCUCUCAUAACGAGUGCGCAGCCUAGAUCCCUCACAUGCACAGUUCACAGUAGGGUUUGCGCUGCUAUGAGAAUCUAAGGCUGCCACUGAUCUGACAGGAGGCAGAACUCAGGUGGCAAUGCUUACUGGCCCACUGCUCACCUCUUGCUGUGCGGCCUGGUUCCUAAUAGGCCAUGGACCCCCACAGACGGGUACUAGUCUGCAGCCUGUGGACCCCAGCCCUAGGGGCCUGCCAUUCUGAGUGAGUUAUUAGCAUGAAGAAGAGGAAGAUCUGGAUCAAACGUGGGUGAUGGUACUCAGAGACCCAAGAUAGGAUAGGGAUGGAACAAAAUCCAUCUGGGCAACGGCUCUAUGAAAAUUUGGCUAAGUAAUUAUUUCAGUAUUCAUUGUAUUCAUUGUCCUUCGUGUUCCAUAAGUUAAAUGACUGUCUAAUUUUUCCAAAAAUUUAUUUCUGACUUGAGAAUAAGUGUGUCAUGAUUUUCCCAGUGUAAAGACACUGAUAUAACUGUAGAUACCAGACAUUUUAUGUAGUGUCUAUGACACAUUUUAGUAUGUAUGAGCCAACAAUAGACAUGUCUUUGUCUUGAGGAGUGUCCAUCUGAAUUGAAAAUGUGUCAGCUUUUUUUUAACAUCAUCAACAGACUUCUUAAUUAAGCUGCCAAUACAUACUGCCAAUAGCACUGUGUGCUGUCUGAGAAAUG
RNAcentral lists this long non-coding RNA (1757 nucleotides) under Homo sapiens (human). Its description in RNAcentral is "HSALNT0328317". The record is from RNAcentral. Lineage: Eukaryota; Metazoa; Chordata; Mammalia; Primates; Hominidae.